GCUCGGAAAUGGUGGUCCAAGCCCGUAGGGGGCUCUGGCAGGUAAAUCCGCCGGGGCAUAUACCCUGAAAGGUGAUGGGACGCAGAGGCUUAGGCCAAUGUUGAUUGAUUGAUGCUCGGCUGCCGAGAAAAGCUUCUAGGUGAGUCAUAUGAGCGACCGUACCUUAAACCGACACAGGUGGGAGGGUAGAAUAUACCAAGGCGCGCGAGAGAAACCUCGUUAAGGAACUCGCAAUCUAGCCCCGUAUCUUCGGUAGAAGGGGUCCUCCCCGACGUCAGAGUAAAAUCAAAGCGUUGGAGAGGCGCAGUGAAUGGGCUCAAGCGACUGUUUAACAAAAACACAGCACUCUGCAAACUCGUAAGAGGACGUAUAGGGUGUGACACGUGACCAAUGCGGAAAGGUUAAGGCAAGUGGUUAGCCGCAAGGCGAAGCUACGACCCGAAGCCCCCGUGAAUGUCGGCCGUAACUAUAACGGUCCUAAGGUAGCGAAAUUCCUUGUCGGGUAAGUUCCGACCUGCACGAAUCGUGUAACGACUUGAGCGCUGUCUCAACGAGGAUCUCGGUGAAAUUGUAGUUCAGAGGAAAGUGUCUGAUACCCGCAGUAGGACGGAAAGACCCUGUGAACCUUUACUGUAAUCUGAUAUUGGGUUCUGGUUCUUCAUAUGUAGCAUAGCUGGGAGGCAUCGAAGCUUGGCCGUCAGGUCAGGUGGAGCCAUCAGUGAAAUACCAGUUUUGAGGCAUCGGCAUUCUAACCCAAUCCGUAAUCCGGAUUGGAGACAGUGUCAGAGGGUCAGUUUGACUGGGGCGGUUUCCUCCAAAAGAGUAACGGAGGAGCGCGAAGGUCCCCUCAGCACGGUCGGCAAUCGUGCGUAGAGCGUAUAGGUAUAAGGGGGCUUGACUGCGAGACUUACAAGUCGAGCAGGUGCGAAAGCAGGCCUAAAUGAUCCGGUGGUAGCAAGUGGUAGCGCCAUCGCUCAACGGACAAAAGGUACUCCGGGGAUAACAGGCUGAUCGCUGCCAAGAGUCCAUAUCGACGCAGCGGUUUGGCACCUCGAUGUCGGCUCAUCGCAUCCUGGGGCUGGAGAAGGUCCCAAGGGUUUGGCUGUUCGCCAAUUAAAGCGGUACGCGAGCUGGGUUCAGAACGUCGUGAGACAGUUCGGUCCUUAUCCACUGUGGGCGUAGGAGAUUUGAGGAGAGCAUUCCUUAGUACGAGAGGACCGGGAAUGACGUACCUCUGGUGUUCCGGUUGUCCUGCCAAGGGCAUUGCCGGGUAGCUAUGUACGGAACGGAUAAGCGCUGAAAGCAUCUAAGCGCCAAGCCCACUCCGAGAUAAGAUCUCCCCUCCGCAAGGAGCUAAAGGCCGGUUGAAGACUACAACCUUGAUAGGCCAGGUGUGUACGUGCAGCAAUGCACUCAGCUAACUGGUACUAAUCGGCCGUGCGGCUUGAC
This 1449-nucleotide ribosomal RNA is filed under the name metagenome. RNAcentral's name for it is "bacterial LSU rRNA". It matches the Rfam family "Bacterial large subunit ribosomal RNA", at positions 1496 to 2925 of the family's 2925-position model. The record is from RNAcentral.